This 24-nucleotide non-coding RNA is filed under the name Arabidopsis thaliana (thale cress). Lineage: Eukaryota; Viridiplantae; Streptophyta; Magnoliopsida; Brassicales; Brassicaceae. The record is from RNAcentral.
GUUUGGCGGGAAAGUGUAUAGGUU